CCACGGCUUCUUCUGGUCAACGCAUCAGUCCUUGCAGGUAUUCUCUUCUUCAUCUGGAUACGAGUCCUUGCCGGCCACGGCUUCUAAGGUCAUAACGUAGUUUGCAGCUAACUAUAUGUUGAUCCUCUUGAUUCGGAUUGGAGACUCGUAUUUAAUUACAGAAAUUAAUUCAUAAACAAUGUCAGGAUGGGAUUCCUCAACGUCUUCAACACGUCCUCAUACUCACCGUUCUUGAGCAUCAGCAUGAGAGAGCCUUGGAAGACAUCAACAAUGUCAGGAUGGGAUUCCAAACUACGGUCAAUGAUGAAUUUGCUUGAGUUGGUGGUGGUGCUGGAGGGCAGGCCCUGGCCGGCAACUGGUGGAACUUUCCAAAAACUGCGGCGGCAAAAACUAUGGCUGCAGUGGUAGUUUUCAGACUGGAAAUUAAAGGAUUUGGAUUGGAGGAAUUAGAACUAGAUUUGA
RNAcentral lists this long non-coding RNA (462 nucleotides) under Coffea arabica (coffee). RNAcentral's name for it is "long non-coding RNA (CARA_LNC007832)". The record is from RNAcentral. Lineage: Eukaryota; Viridiplantae; Streptophyta; Magnoliopsida; Gentianales; Rubiaceae.